RNAcentral lists this long non-coding RNA (934 nucleotides) under Ananas comosus (pineapple). RNAcentral's name for it is "long non-coding RNA (ACOM_LNC017396)". The record is from RNAcentral. Lineage: Eukaryota; Viridiplantae; Streptophyta; Magnoliopsida; Poales; Bromeliaceae.
CUAGACCUGGCAAUCUCCACCCAUACCUGCAGGUGCCCGCGGGUUACUCGCAAAUUUGCGGGUAUGGAUACCAACAUUUCAAACCCAAAAAAUUACGGAUAAAAUGGGUGGGUACCCAUUAAGUUGUGGAUAUUUUGGGUAACUCACGAGUACCCACGGAUACCCGCACAUAUAUUUUUUAAUUAAAAUACAUAUAUUUUUAUUUAUCCAUUCUAAAAAUUCUAACCCUAAUUUCUUAUCGCAUCUUUUAUAUUACGAAAUCUUUUUGUUUUAAGACUUUAAAUAUUUCUAUUGUAUGUUAUGAUAUUUUAAAUAAUGAAUUAUGUUAUAUUUUUAAAACUUAUAUGUAUGUAUUUGCAUUUAAAAAAUAUAAAAGAAAAAAGAAAAAAAUUGCGGAUAACCCGCAUACCCACCCGCCCACUCGCGGGCGGGUAUGGAUAAAGAUGUUGGCUACCCAAAAAUUUGAGGGCAAAUUUUACCAUGCCCAAGUAACCCGCGGGUACAAUGACCCGCCCGCGGAUUACCCAAGCCGUCCGUUUGCCAGGUCUAAGAGUGACAAAACCGCCACUCAGGCUUCUUGGAUUGGGGGCGGGCCGGUUUGUUUUGGGGCCGGGCCCUGAACCAACCCACUUUGUGGGGAGCGUCUAACUUUUAUUAUGCUAUCAAUAGUAACAAGCGCUUGAUGCUACUAAGUUUUUCUUCGUUAAAUCUAUUCUUGUUAGAUUAUAUAAAUUCAAUCAACCACCACUCACUCAACUCUAGGGUAUCAUUUUCUUCCUAACUAGACAUUUCUUCAUCCAAGGGCCGAAAACUUGUGCUAUUAAUAGUAUAAUAGUCUAGUUCUCUCGCUAUAUAUACAGAAGUGAUCAAAAUGGUAGAUCUAACGGUAAAAAAAUCUACAAGCACCAAGUAGCCGUACUCUCUCUCUUUAUAU